Molecule: ribosomal RNA, 253 nt
Filed under: uncultured bacterium
Lineage: Bacteria
Description: partial 16S ribosomal RNA
Rfam family: Bacterial small subunit ribosomal RNA
Source: RNAcentral
UACGUAGGGGGCUAGCGUUGUCCGGAAUCAUUGGGGGUAAAGCGCGUGUAGGCGGGAGGCCAAGUCUGCGGUGAAAUCGCUCGGCUCAACUGGGCGGGGUCCGUGGAAACUGGUCACCUGGAGGACGGUAGAGGCGAGUGGAAUUCCCGGUGUAGUGGUGAAAUGCGUAGAGAUCGGGAGGAACACCAGUGGCGAAGGCGGCUCGCUGGGCCGGACCUGACGCUGAGACGCGAAGGCGUGGGGAGCGAACGGG